UACGAAGGGUGCAAGCGUUACUCGGAAUUACUGGGCGUAAAGCGUGCGUAGGUGGUUCGUUAAGUCUGAUGUGAAAGCCCUGGGCUCAACCUGGGAAUGGCAUUGGAUACUGGCGACCUAGAGUGCGGUAGAGGGGUGUGGAAUUCCCGGUGUAGCAGUGAAAUGCGUAGAUAUCGGGAGGAACAUCUGUGGCGAAGGCGACACCCUGGGUCGAUACUGACGCUGAGGUGCGAAAGCGUGGGGAGCAAACAGG
This 253-nucleotide ribosomal RNA is filed under the name uncultured bacterium. Its description in RNAcentral is "partial 16S ribosomal RNA". It matches the Rfam family "Bacterial small subunit ribosomal RNA", at positions 524 to 776 of the family's 1533-position model. The record is from RNAcentral.